Molecule: long non-coding RNA, 763 nt
Organism: Nicotiana attenuata
Lineage: Eukaryota; Viridiplantae; Streptophyta; Magnoliopsida; Solanales; Solanaceae
Exons: 2
Source: RefSeq, a predicted model, not a curated record
ACCAUCGGAACAUGUAAAUAUAUUUCUUCUCCUAUUAGAGUCUUUUUCUCUAUGGGAAAAAAAAGUAUAUAUUCUGCUUUAUCCAGUGAAUUCAAAGCCUAAAUGUUUACAACAAACUGCGAGCGAAAGUUGAAGAAUAGUCAACAAACAUCUUCGCUGAAUUCUUUGAACGUUAACCUUCAUAGCAAGAGCGUGGAGACGAGAAACACGUCCACUGUUGGCAAAGAAUAUAGAAAGCUAUCAUUUUGAUGAUUUUACUUUUGAUUUCUCUUCUUCGCGUUUAUAUCAAGAAGAAAGUCGCGAUAAAAUCAGGCUGCUAGAGGUAUAUUCUUCAAACCCACAAGGACAAGACAAAAUUGUAUAUGAUAUAUGCCAACUUUACACAUGAGGACAUUCUUUUGAGGUAAUUUAGCAUAAUUAUAUCUUCCAUGCCAUUUGAUUGGAGCAGAAGAUAUAAGUUAUACCACUUGGUUCUCAGUAGCCCCAAUAUACUCACCCUCCAUUACUGUUAAAUGACUAUAUUAUGAAUAAUCAGAUUGGGAGGUGAAAUGAUAAAGGCAAUGUUGCAGGAAAAGUUGAACUCCUUUCAAGCGUCUUCGUUUUGUUUAUGAGUUGAGUUCUAUAUAGAAUACCCAGUUGAAUUGAUAAUUAUCUUUUGUUCAUUGUAUUUACACCGGAACAGAUUAAUGUAUGAUUGUUCUGUAUGAACUUGUAACUAAUUGGAGUGGGAUAGUAAUUACUAUCUAAAACAGUUUGAAACGGA